CCUCUCCCCAGCCGGGCGGGCCGCCGGGUCUUUGCCUUCCCUCUGCGCGCCUCUCCGCUCUCCAGGACUCGAGCGAGGCAGCGGGAAGCCCACCCUAGUUCUUGGAAGGGGCAGGGGAAGGAUGGGCUGGGGAGGGGGCGCGCGGGAAAGGGCCGCCGAGCUUGGGUUGCCCAGCUGACCCCACUCCUCGAGGUCGGGCUGGGGGGGUGGGGCGGCAAGGGCUUCGGAGGCUUGGCCCCUGCUUGGCUCCGGACCUGGCUCCCGCCUCGGUAACCACACUCUCGGCCUUUGGCUUUACCGAGCUGGGACCCUUCUCCCAUCCCCCUUCCCUCCAGCCUCGUGAAACAACGACCCCCACCAGCAGCAGCAGCGCCCGCUUUGCCCCGGCUCCGGAGCGCUGUUUACCUAAUCUCAGCGGCUGACCGAGCCCAGCAGAAUGCGAAAGGGAGGCAGCGGUGGUACAGCAGCGUCCCCGGCGAAGAAGUAAAAGACGUUUGCUUUGGAGCUUCGGGAUAAGUUAACUGCGAAGCUGGGGUCCUGCUGUCUUACCUCUGCGGCGAUGAGCCUCACCGUGCACGUUGGCAGGCAUAGCAGAUUCUGUUUCUGAUGCCAUUACCGUGUCGGAGAAGAACAUUAUAUGAAAAAAUACUAUCUAAUAUCCUAGAGACCAUUAAAGUGUCAAAGUUUAAUGCCAA
This 695-nucleotide long non-coding RNA is filed under the name Homo sapiens (human). Its description in RNAcentral is "non-protein coding lnc-TIMP3-10:3". Lineage: Eukaryota; Metazoa; Chordata; Mammalia; Primates; Hominidae. The record is from RNAcentral.